This 253-nucleotide ribosomal RNA is filed under the name uncultured bacterium. RNAcentral describes it as "partial 16S ribosomal RNA". It matches the Rfam family "Bacterial small subunit ribosomal RNA", at positions 524 to 776 of the family's 1533-position model. The record is from RNAcentral.
UACGUAGGUGGCAAGCGUUAUCCGGAUUUAUUGGGCGUAAAGGGAGCGUAGACGGCAUUGCAAGUCCGGAGUGAAAGCCCACGGCCCAACCGUGGGACUGCUCUGGAAACUGUAGAGCUGGAGUGCGGGAGGGGCAGGCGGAAUUCCUAGUGUAGCGGUGAAAUGCGUAGAUAUUAGGAGGAACACCGGCGGCGAAGGCGGCCUGCUGGACCGUAACUGACGUUGAGGCUCGAAAGCGUGGGGAGCAAACAGG